UACGUAGGAUCCAAUCGUUGUCCGGAAUUACUGGGUGUAAAGGGUGCGCAGGCGGACUUGUGCGUCAGAGGUUAAAUACCCCGGCUCAACCGGGGAAAUGCCUUUGAAACGGCAGGUCUUGAGUGCGAGAGAGGAUGGUAGAAUUCCUGGUGUAGCGGUGAAAUGCGUAGAUAUCAGGAGGAAUACCAGUGGCGAAGGCGGUCAUCUGGGUCGCAACUGACGCUCAGGCACGAAAGCGUGGGGAGCAAACAGG
This 253-nucleotide ribosomal RNA is filed under the name uncultured bacterium. RNAcentral's name for it is "partial 16S ribosomal RNA". It matches the Rfam family "Bacterial small subunit ribosomal RNA", at positions 524 to 776 of the family's 1533-position model. The record is from RNAcentral.